UGGUAGGAUAGCGUAAUUAACGCGAUGAAGGAUGACCGUAAGGACAUGUUGGAGCGUUAACUAGUGAGAAUUCCGGUAUGAGUAGCGAAAGAUAGGUGAGAAUCCUAUCCACCGAAUGAGUAAGGUUUCCCCCGGAAGGCUCGUCCGCGGGGGGUUAGUCGGGACCUAAGGCGAGGCUGAAAAGCGUAGUCGAUGGACAACAGGUUGAUAUUCCUGUACCGAUAUUUAAUUGCCGAAGGAAGGACGCAGAAGGAUAACACAGGCCACUAUUGGAUGUGGUUUUAAACAGUUAGUCUUCAUAAGAGUCAAAUGCUUUUAUGUUUAAGGAUAAGCUGUGAAUGUACCAAGUUUACUUGGAAAUUGUGUGAUUUCACGCUGCUGAAAAAAGUUUCGUAGGAAGAAAAUAUUGCCCGUACCGCAAACCGACACAGGUACUCGAGUGGAGAACACUAAGGUGAGCGAGUGAACUAUUGUUAAGGAACUCUGCAAAAUGAGUCCGUAACUUCGGAAGAAGGACUGCUGGUUUUAUACCAGCCGCAGCAAAUAGGCCCAAACAACUGUUUAUCAAAAACACAGGUUUCUGCAAAAUCGUAAGAUGAAGUAUAGGGGCUGACGCCUGCCC
Molecule: ribosomal RNA, 622 nt
Filed under: Oenococcus oeni
Lineage: Bacteria; Bacillati; Bacillota; Bacilli; Lactobacillales; Lactobacillaceae
Description: bacterial LSU rRNA
Rfam family: Bacterial large subunit ribosomal RNA
Source: RNAcentral